UGAGGUCAAGCUGGAUCACACAAGACCACCC
This 31-nucleotide non-coding RNA is filed under the name Homo sapiens (human). Lineage: Eukaryota; Metazoa; Chordata; Mammalia; Primates; Hominidae. The record is from RNAcentral.